UACGUAGGUGGCAAGCGUUAUCCGGAUUUAUUGGGCGUAAAGGGAACGCAGGCGGUCUUUUAAGUCUGAUGUGAAAGCCUUCGGCUUAACCCGAGUAGUGCAUUGGAAACUGGGAGACUUGAGUGCAGAAGAGGAGAGUGGAACUCCAUGUGUAGCGGUGAGAUGCGUAGAUAUAUGGAAGAACACCAGUGGCGAAAGCGGCUCUCUGGUCUGUAACUGACGCUGAGGUUCGAAAGCGUGGGUAGCAAACAGG
RNAcentral lists this ribosomal RNA (253 nucleotides) under uncultured bacterium. Its description in RNAcentral is "partial 16S ribosomal RNA". It matches the Rfam family "Bacterial small subunit ribosomal RNA", at positions 524 to 776 of the family's 1533-position model. The record is from RNAcentral.